Molecule: non-coding RNA, 947 nt
Filed under: Macaca fascicularis (crab-eating macaque)
Lineage: Eukaryota; Metazoa; Chordata; Mammalia; Primates; Cercopithecidae
Description: 12S ribosomal RNA
Rfam family: Bacterial small subunit ribosomal RNA
Source: RNAcentral
AAUAGGCUUGGUCCUGGCCUUUCUAUUAGCUCUUAGCAGGAUUACACAUGCAAGCAUCCCCGCUCCGGUGAAGACGCCCUAUAAAUCAUCAUGACCAAGAGGAGCAAGCAUCAAGCACGCACACGCAGCUCAAAACGCUUUGCCUAGCCACACCCCCACGGGAGACAGCAGUGACAAAUAUUUAGCAAUAAACGAAAGUUCAACUAAGCCAUGCUAUAUUUAGGGUUGGUCAAUUUCGUGCCAGCCACCGCGGUUACACGAUUAACCCCAGCUAAUAGGGAUCGGCGUAGAGGGUGUUUAAGAUCUAACAUAAUAAAGCUAAACUCCACCUAAACUGUAAAACCCUAGCUAAUGUAAAAUAAACUACGAAAGUGGCUUUAAAGCUUCUGAACACACAAUAGCCAAGACCCAAACUGGGAUUAGACACCCUACUAUGCUUGGCCCUAAACCUCAGUAGUUAGAUAACAAAACUACUCGCCAGAAUACUACAAGCAACAGCUUAAAACUCAAAGGACUUGACGGUGCUUUACAUCCCCCUAGAGGAGCCUGUUCCGUAAUCGAUAAACCCCGAUCCACCCCACCCUCUCUUGCUCAGCCUAUAUACCGCCAUCUUCAGCAAACCCUAAUGAGGGCCACAAAGUGAGCGCAAACGCCACCGCCGCGAAUACGUUAGGUCAAGGUGUAGCCCAUGAGACGGUAAAAAAUGGGCUACAUUUUCUAUUUCAGAAAACCCACGAAAACCCUUAUGAAACUUAAGGGUCCAAGGAGGAUUUAGCAGUAAAUUAAGAAUAGAGUGCUUAAUUGAACCAGGCCAUAAAGCGCGCACACACCGCCCGUCACUCCUCUCAAAUAUAUUUAAGGAAUAUCCUAACUAAACGCCCUAAUAUUUAUAUAGAGAGGAUAAGUCGUAACAUGGUAAGCGUACUGGAAGGUGCGCUUGGAUAAAU